AUCCUGGCUCAGGAUGAACGCUAGCGGCAGGCUUAACACAUGCAAGUCGAGGGGUAUGGUUCUUCGGGAGCAGAGACCGGCGCACGGGUGCGUAACGCGUAUGCAAUCUACCUUUUACAGAGGGAUAGCCCAGAGAAAUUUGGAUUAAUACCUCAUAGUAUAGCAGUUUCGCAUGAAACCACUAUUAAAGUCACAACGGUAAAAGAUGAGCAUGCGUCCCAUUAGCUAGUUGGUAAGGUAACGGCUUACCAAGGCUACGAUGGGUAGGGGUCCUGAGAGGGAGAUCCCCCACACUGGUACUGAGACACGGACCAGACUCCUACGGGAGGCAGCAGUGAGGAAUAUUGGACAAUGGGCGCAAGCCUGAUCCAGCCAUGCCGCGUGCAGGAUGACGGUCCUAUGGAUUGUAAACUGCUUUUAUACAGGAAGAAACCCUGGUUCGUGAACCAGCUUGACGGUAUCGUAAG
Molecule: ribosomal RNA, 467 nt
Filed under: Flavobacterium sp. WB4.4-70
Lineage: Bacteria; Pseudomonadati; Bacteroidota; Flavobacteriia; Flavobacteriales; Flavobacteriaceae
Description: bacterial SSU rRNA
Rfam family: Bacterial small subunit ribosomal RNA
Source: RNAcentral